Nelumbo nucifera (sacred lotus) is the source of this 46-nucleotide non-coding RNA. The record is from Rfam. NCBI's taxonomy places the organism in Eukaryota, Viridiplantae, Streptophyta, Magnoliopsida, Proteales, Nelumbonaceae.
GCAAUGGCUUUCUUUAAAGCCCCUAAUAGUCUCAAAUCCAUUGUUU